RNAcentral lists this ribosomal RNA (253 nucleotides) under uncultured bacterium. RNAcentral describes it as "partial 16S ribosomal RNA". It matches the Rfam family "Bacterial small subunit ribosomal RNA", at positions 524 to 776 of the family's 1533-position model. The record is from RNAcentral.
UACAGAGGUGGCAAGCGUUGUUCGGAAUUACUGGGCGUAAAGGGCGCGUAGGCGGCCUUCUAAGUCAGACGUGAAAUCCCCCGGCUUAACCUGGGAACUGCGUCUGAUACUGGAAGGCUUGAGUGCGGGAGAGGGAUGUGGAAUUCCAGGUGUAGCGGUGAAAUGCGUAGAUAUCUGGAGGAACACCGGUGGCGAAGGCGGCAUCCUGGACCGACACUGACGCUGAGACGCGAAAGCGUGGGGAGCAAACAGG